Molecule: small nuclear RNA, 115 nt
Filed under: Chelonoidis abingdonii (Abingdon island giant tortoise)
Lineage: Eukaryota; Metazoa; Chordata; Testudines; Testudinidae
Description: U4 spliceosomal RNA (ENSCABG00000014141.1)
Rfam family: U4 spliceosomal RNA
About the family: U4 small nuclear RNA (U4 snRNA) is a component of the major U2-dependent spliceosome. The structure of U4 snRNA from yeast and human has been reported.
Source: Rfam by way of RNAcentral
AGCUUUGCACAGUGGCAGUAUCAUAACCAAUGAAGUGAAUCUGAGGUGUGAUGUAUUGCUACUUGAAAAUCCGCUCCUCUCCCCUCUUGGUGGUAGAUGGUACAGUACUACUGCU